Molecule: ribosomal RNA, 468 nt
Filed under: uncultured bacterium
Lineage: Bacteria
Description: partial 16S ribosomal RNA
Rfam family: Bacterial small subunit ribosomal RNA
Source: RNAcentral
GACGAACGCUGGCGGCGUGCUUAACACAUGCAAGUCGAACGGAAAGGCCCUGCUUUUGUGGGGUGCUCGAGUGGCGAACGGGUGAGUAACACGUGAGUAACCUGCCCUUGACUUUGGGAUAACUUCAGGAAACUGGGGCUAAUACCGGAUAGGAACUCCUGCUGCAUGGUGGGGGUUGGAAAGUUUCGGCGGUUGGGGAUGGACUCGCGGCUUAUCAGCUUGUUGGUGGGGUAGUGGCUUACCAAGGCUUUGACGGGUAGCCGGCCUGAGAGGGUGACCGGCCACAUUGGGACUGAGAUACGGCCCAGACUCCAACGGGAGGCAGCAGUGGGGAAUAUUGCACAAUGGGCGGAAGCCUGAUGCAGCAACGCCGCGUGCGGGAUGACGGCCUUCGGGUUGUAAACCGCUUUCGCCUGUGACGAAGCGUGAGUGACGGUAAUGGGUAAAGAAGCACCGGCUAACUACGUG